AAAUUGAAGAGUUUGAUCAUGGCUCAGAUUGAACGCUGGCGGCAGGCCUAACACAUGCAAGUCGAACGGUAACAGGAAGCAGCUUGCUGCUUCGCUGACGAGUGGCGGACGGGUGAGUAAUGUCUGGGAAACUGCCUGAUGGAGGGGGAUAACUACUGGAAACGGUAGCUAAUACCGCAUAAUGUCGCAAGACCAAAGAGGGGGACCUUCGGGCCUCUUGCCAUCGGAUGUGCCCAGAUGGGAUUAGCUUGUUGGUGGGGUAACGGCUCACCAAGGCGACGAUCCCUAGCUGGUCUGAGAGGAUGACCAGCCACACUGGAACUGAGACACGGUCCAGACUCCUACGGGAGGCAGCAGUGGGGAAUAUUGCACAAUGGGCGCAAGCCUGAUGCAGC
Molecule: ribosomal RNA, 395 nt
Filed under: Escherichia coli
Lineage: Bacteria; Pseudomonadati; Pseudomonadota; Gammaproteobacteria; Enterobacterales; Enterobacteriaceae
Also listed under: 1 other name
Description: bacterial SSU rRNA
Rfam family: Bacterial small subunit ribosomal RNA
Source: RNAcentral